ACACUUAUAACUCAAAUGGAUAGAGUAUCGGAUUUCGGUCCCGAAAGUUAUAGGUUCAAGUCCUAUUAAGUGUA
Molecule: transfer RNA, 74 nt
Filed under: Odontella aurita
Lineage: Eukaryota; Bacillariophyta; Thalassiosirophyceae; Eupodiscales; Odontellaceae
Description: tRNA-Arg
Rfam family: tRNA
About the family: Transfer RNA (tRNA) molecules are approximately 80 nucleotides in length. Their secondary structure includes four short double-helical elements and three loops (D, anti-codon, and T loops).
Source: RNAcentral